UGAGUAAUACAUCGGAACAUGUCCUGUAGUGGGGGAUAGCCCGGCGAAAGCCGGAUUAAUACCGCAUACGAUCUACGGAUGAAAGCGGGGGACCUUCGGGCCUCGCGCUAUAGGGUUGGCCGAUGGCUGAUUAGCUAGUUGGUGGGGUAAAGGCCUACCAAGGCGACGAUCAGUAGCUGGUCUGAGAGGACGACCAGCCACACUGGGACUGAGACACGGCCCAGACUCCUACGGGAGGCAGCAGUGGGGAAUUUUGGACAAUGGGCGAAAGCCUGAUCCAGCAAUGCCGCGUGUGUGAAGAAGGCCUUCGGGUUGUAAAGCACUUUUGUCCGGAAAGAAAUCCUUGGCUCUAAUACAGUCGGGGGAUGACGGUACCGGAAGAAUAAGCACCGGCUAACUACGUGCCAGCAGCCGCGGUAAUACGUAGGGUGCAAGCGUUAAUCGGAAUUACUGGGCGUAAAGCGUGCGCAGGCGGUUUGUUAAGACCGAUGUGAAAUCCCCGGGCUCAACCUGGGAACUGCAUUGGUGACUGGCAAGCUAGAGUAUGGCAGAGGGGGGUAGAAUUCCACGUGUAGCAGUGAAAUGCGUAGAGAUGUGGAGGAAUACCGAUGGCGAAGGCAGCCCCCUGGGCCAAUACUGACGCUCAUGCACGAAAGCGUGGGGAGCAAACAGGAUUAGAUACCCUGGUAGUCCACGCCCUAAACGAUGUCAACUAGUUGUUGGGGAUUCAUUUCCUUAGUAACGUAGCUUACGCGUGAAGUUGACCGCCUGGGGAGUACGGUCGCAAGAUUAAAACUCAAAGGAAUUGACGGGGACCCGCACAAGCGGUGGAUGAUUGUGGAUUAAUUCGAUGCAACGCGAAAAACCUUACCUACCCUUGACAUGGUCGGAAUCCUGCUGA
This 901-nucleotide ribosomal RNA is filed under the name Burkholderia sp. RNAcentral describes it as "bacterial SSU rRNA". It matches the Rfam family "Bacterial small subunit ribosomal RNA", at positions 107 to 1004 of the family's 1533-position model. The record is from RNAcentral. Lineage: Bacteria; Pseudomonadati; Pseudomonadota; Betaproteobacteria; Burkholderiales; Burkholderiaceae.